UGCUAGCGUCGAUAGAAAUGCAAAACUAGGUUGGUUCCAGCACACUUUGGAAGUGGAUAAACCCGUCGCAAUAAACUUACCAUGGAGUGCAUUUUCGUCAAGGUUUGUGCGACCCAUAAUGUCCUUACAAAGAUUCGUCGUCGAGCAAGAAGCAAUUGGUUAAAGUACGAUAAAGGAUGACCGGAGAGAAAAAAAUCUGGGAGCACGUUGACGGAAUUGAGGGUCUGAAGAAAUGGAAACCAAAGCUAUCACAAUCUGUGGCAAAAUGCAAUAAGGCCGAUAAAUUUGCAGUCAUCAUUUCUGCAAGUAAGUGUCCGCCUGUACUUCAUUUCACAAACGGCAAAUACCCACCUAAAAAAGAGGGGAUGCUGUUACUUUUUCAUGUCUUCAAUUUUAGAAUUUCUAAACCUGUUCUAAUUUAUCCGUUAUGAUCUUUUUGGAAAAAAAAAAUCAUUAUCCUACGAGAAUCGGACAAAGUCGAAGGAUGCCCAAUCGGAAUAAACAUUUGGAGAUAAGCUGACGAAAACAACAAUCAGAUUUAGAAUUGUUAAAACUAACAACAACAGGCAGACGAAAAUUCAAACUUUUCUCCGAAAUUUCGCUGCUUGUUUUCUGAGGUUGUCCGGAACAAACAUCGGCUAGCUGCUACAUUGGACGCCACACGUCACGUCACGUCCAUGAUAAGUAAUGGAUUAUGGGCUCUCGAAAAAGGACAAGACCAUAGGAAAACUUCCGUGAACCCGGUGAACGAAAUCUUGACUGUGGUGUUGGUAAUAACGGCCAAAUUACACCCUGAUUCUGGCCUUUCAUCGGGGAUUCCGGGCUAAAAAGUGUACUUGCAUGUCGGAGCAGAAGAAGCCUUUAUCAACUUUGCUCAUUUCCGUGGCUCUACCAAAAGGCGUUACUGGGUAGAUCCUUUCCAAUUAUUGCUAGAAGUUUGAAAAGGAACGUUUGGUUAUAUUCUUUUUAAAGGCAAACAAUUGCAUCAAUUUAUGAGAAGUCUAUUCGGCGCUUGCUCCCUAUUACAGCCCCCUCCAUCGUAUCCUGAUAGCUGCGCGCUUCGGAAUCAAAUGUGAUAACCAUUGUUUAAAACAAUGAUAUAAAAUUUGAAUGAAGAUAAAUAAUAGGUGACAAAAAAUUUCAAAUAACAGGAUAAACAUAAAUAAAAACACCCUCAUUUAAAUAACACACACACACACACACACACACACACACACACACACACACACACACACACACACACACACACACACACACACACACACACACACACACACGAACAAACACACGCACAAACACAC
Uranotaenia lowii is the source of this 1301-nucleotide long non-coding RNA. RefSeq lists it as uncharacterized. The transcript is spliced from 4 exons. NCBI's taxonomy places the organism in Eukaryota, Metazoa, Arthropoda, Insecta, Diptera, Culicidae. The record is from RefSeq and is a predicted model, not a curated record.